RNAcentral lists this ribosomal RNA (274 nucleotides) under uncultured bacterium. Its description in RNAcentral is "partial 16S ribosomal RNA". It matches the Rfam family "Bacterial small subunit ribosomal RNA", at positions 523 to 796 of the family's 1533-position model. The record is from RNAcentral.
AUACGAAGGUCCCAAGCGUUAUUCGGAAUCACUGGGCGUAAAGAGUACGUAGGCGGUUUGGUAAGUCAGGUGUGAAAUCCCGGAGCUCAACUCCGGAACUGCAUCCGAUACUGCCAGACUUGAGUAAUGGAGAGGCAGGUGGAAUUCUCGGUGUAGCAGUGAAAUGCGUGGAUAUCGAGAGGAAGACCAAUGGCGAAGGCAGCCUGCUGGACAUUUACUGACGCUGAGGUACGAAGGCUAGGGGAGCGAAAGGGAUUAGAAACCCCGGUAGUCC